Molecule: ribosomal RNA, 511 nt
Filed under: uncultured Glomus
Lineage: Eukaryota; Fungi; Glomeromycota; Glomeromycetes; Glomerales; Glomeraceae
Description: SSU rRNA
Rfam family: Eukaryotic small subunit ribosomal RNA
Source: RNAcentral
AGCAGCCGCGGUAAUUCCAGCUCCAAUAGCGUAUAUUAAAGUUGUUGCAGUUAAAAAGCUCGUAGUUGAAUUUCGGGGUUAGUAGGCUGGUCGUGCCACUGGUAUGUACUGGUCUCACUGAUUCCUCCUUCCUGAUGAGCUGUAAUGCCAUUAAUUUGGUGUUGCAGGGAAUCUGGACUGUUACUUUGAAAAAAUUAGAGUGUUUAAAGCAGGCUAACGCUUGAAUACAUUAGCAUGGAAUAAUGAAAUAGGACGAUCGAACCUAUUUUGUUGGUUUCUAGGAUUGACGUAAUGAUUAAUAGGGAUAGUUGGGGGCAUUAGUAUUCAAUUGUCAGAGGUGAAAUUCUUGGAUUUAUUGAAGACUAACUACUGCGAAAGCAUUUGCCAAGGAUGUUUUCUAUUAAUCAAGAACGAAAGUUAGGGGAUCGAAGACGAUCAGAUACCGUCGUAGUCUUAACCAUAAACUAUGCCGACUAGGGAUCGGAUGAUGUUAAUUUUUAAUGACUCAUUC